Molecule: ribosomal RNA, 712 nt
Filed under: uncultured bacterium
Lineage: Bacteria
Description: bacterial SSU rRNA
Rfam family: Bacterial small subunit ribosomal RNA
Source: RNAcentral
GAUACCCUGGGUAGUCCACGCAGUAAACGAUGAAUACUAGCUGUCCGGGGCGAAUGAGCCCUGGGUGGCACAGCGAAAGCGUUAAGUAUUCCACCUGGGGAGUACGCCGGCAACGGUGAAACUCAAAGGAAUUGACGGGGGCCCGCACAAGCGGAGGAACAUGUGGUUUAAUUCGAUGAUACGCGAGGAACCUUACCCGGGCUCAAACGACACAGGAACGUACCUGAAAGGGUUCGGCUCUACGGAGCCUGUGUCGAGGUGCUGCAUGGUUGUCGUCAGCUCGUGCCGUGAGGUGUCGGCUUAAGUGCCAUAACGAGCGCAACCCCCAUCGACAGUUGCUAACAGGUCAGGCUGAGGACUCUGUCGAGACUGCCGGCGCAAGCUGCGAGGAAGGCGGGGAUGACGUCAAAUCAGCACGGCCCUUACGUCCGGGGCGACACACGUGUUACAAUGGCAGGUACAGCGGGAAGCCACCUGGCGACAGGGAGCGGAACCCGAAAGCCUGUCUCAGUUCGGAUUGGAGUCUGCAACCCGACUCCAUGAAGCUGGAUUCGCUAGUAAUCGCGCAUCAGCCACGGCGCGGUGAAUACGUUCCCGGGCCUUGUACACACCGCCCGUCAAGCCAUGGAAGCCGGGGGUGCCUGAAGUGCGCUGCCGCGAGGAGCGCCCUAGGGUAAAACCGGUGACUGGGGCUAAGUCGUAACAAGGUAAC